GAAGAAGAAGACGAAGAAAGAAACCCAUGUGAGUAACAGCCAUUAUGGAAUGGCAAAUAAUGGCUGUUACACCUGCAUUUUUUGUCCUCUUGCCUGUAUAUAAUGAUAGGUAAUGGAGCUCUUCAAAACCUUCAAAUAAUGGCCGUUAUGUUACAUAAUGACCCGUGAUGGAGCCAAGAUUUAUUUUUAGGUGGGGCCAAAGCAAUACUUAAUAUGUAUCUAUAUUUAUAAUAUUUUUUUAUCCAUAAAAAUGCAUGUGAUAUAUUAAAUGUCAACAUAAACAACAUAAACUUAAUAUUUUAAAUCAAGACAUCACAAAUUGAAAUAGGUAAAUAGCCUAGUAAAAUAUAAAAAUAUUUAAUUUUAGGGGGCAAUUUAAUUUUAAAACUAAACAGCAUACUAAAAUUAUAUUUUUCACAAAGUUAGGGGGCCAAUUUAAUUUUAAAUCCAUAACCCCCAGCCCCCCAUCCCUCUGUCACUGGUAAUGAUUGUUAUUUGAAACUAUGAUCACAAAACUUGAGAGAACAAUUGCAGGAAAUUUUAUUGAAUGGAAAAUGAAUUGAAGAACAUUAAAAGUAUGAGGCAUCUAUAGACUCAAAGUAGCACUAAAACUAGUCUUAAUCUCCUAUAGAUUUGGAUUCCCAAAGAAACUAGAACUAGUAUUGUCCUAAACCAAAAGGACUAAAAUUAAGAAUUCAAAAUAAAAAUAGGGACUCCUAAAAAGAACAAAACCAAAAUUACCCCUGAAAGUUUCCUGCUUAAUGUACAUAAAAAAUAAGACUAAGGCCUAAUUAAUUUCCUAACUAAGUUGUAGCACUAGGGAUAGCUCAAUGGUAACUGCAUAUAUGUUGAACUUGCUCCCCAUUGCCCCGACAUAUGUAAUAAAAAAAAAAA
RNAcentral lists this unclassified non-coding RNA (894 nucleotides) under Hevea brasiliensis (rubber tree). Lineage: Eukaryota; Viridiplantae; Streptophyta; Magnoliopsida; Malpighiales; Euphorbiaceae. The record is from RNAcentral.